GAUGAACGCUAGCUACAGGCUUAACACACGCAAGUCGAGGGGUAACGAGAGGAAAGCUUGCUUUCCUUGUCGACGACCGGCGCACGGGUGAGUAACGCGUAUCCAACCUGCCCCCAACUAGGGAAUAACCUUGCGAAAGUAAGACUAAUACCCUAUAAUUUCCUCAGAUGUCAUCUGACGAGGAAUAAAGAUUUAUCGGUUGUGGAUGGGGAUGCGUCUGAUUAGCUUGUUGGCGGGGUAACGGCCCACCAAGGCAACGAUCAGUAGGGGUUCUGAGAGGAAGGUCCCCCACAUUGGAACUGAGACACGGUCCAAACUCGUACGGGAGGCAGCAGUGAGGAAUAUUGGUCAAUGGACGGAAGCCUGAACCAGCCAAGUAGCGUGCAGGAUGACGGGCCUAUGGGUUGUAAACUGCUUUUAUACAGGAAUAAAGUUAGCCACGUGUGGUUAUUUGUAGGUACUGUAUGAAUAAGGACCGGCUAAGUCCGUGCCAGCCGCCGCCGUAA
Molecule: ribosomal RNA, 506 nt
Filed under: uncultured bacterium
Lineage: Bacteria
Description: partial 16S ribosomal RNA
Rfam family: Bacterial small subunit ribosomal RNA
Source: RNAcentral